RNAcentral lists this non-coding RNA (195 nucleotides) under Desulfosporosinus sp. The record is from RNAcentral. Lineage: Bacteria; Bacillati; Bacillota; Clostridia; Eubacteriales; Desulfitobacteriaceae.
UUAAUAUUAUACAAAAUGAGUAUAUUGUCUUUGCAAACAUAAAGAUAAUAUUUAAAAGAGAAGUCAGUCUAAUUCUGACGCGGUCCCGCCACUGUAAUAGGGAGUAGCUUUACAAAAUGUCACUGGAGUUAUCCGGGAAGACGUAAGGUUGCGAUGAACUUAAGCCAGGAUACCUGCUCAUUUUGGAAUUCACCU